UGGGACCGUGUUUCGGCUUCAGCAUAAGCUGCUAUUGUGCAAUGAAUGUCAGUUGCUUCGUUCCAGCCUUUCGAUUAUUUGUGAUGCGGCGGAAUAAAGCUCCGCAAGCACGCAUAGGGUGCGAUAAAACACAGCGCAUUGCGAUAAACGCAGUGUUCGCUGCUAGCUUUAGCGACCAACUCUGCGGCAUGGAGACCGGAAGGAAAGAAGCACGAGUGUCUGUACGUGCCGAUAGGGGGCGUCUGCAACCGAUCCUCCUUCGUGUACUACUACUCGCCAUUCGAAGGUGACUGCAAGAAAUGGGACGGCUGCCUGGGACGAGGGCUCUACUUCUCCAGGCCUCGCUGCGAGAGGGCCUGCAGAGAUGCUCCACACGGCAUUUGCGCUCUGGAGAAGGACGAGGGCACCUUCGGCGUUCCGCCGUUCGAGAAGAAGUACUUCUACAACCAGAUCACCCAGCAGUGCGAGACCUUCGGGUACCAAGGAAACGGGGAGGAGAAGAGCAGGGCCAACCGGUUCGACGACGAGCAUGAGUGCCACGUUAAGUGCGGACGUUCUUAUAGAGAGGAGAAUGCAAUAAGCAACGUCACGGACAGGGUCUCACGUGGCCACCCGACUAUUAUUCGUAAUGCCCCGGAAGCAUCCG
Molecule: long non-coding RNA, 646 nt
Organism: Dermacentor silvarum
Lineage: Eukaryota; Metazoa; Arthropoda; Arachnida; Ixodida; Ixodidae
Exons: 4
Source: RefSeq, a predicted model, not a curated record